GACGAACGCUGGCGGCGUGCUUAACACAUGCAAGUCGAACGGCAACGCCCUGCUUUUGUGGGGUUCUCGAGUGCCGAACGGGUGAGUAACACGUGUGUAACCUGCCCUUGUCUUUGGGAUAACUUCAGGAAACUGGGGCUAAUACCGUAUAGCAGCUCCUGCUGCAUGGUGGGGGUUGGAACGUUUCGGCGGUUGGGGAUGGACUCGCGGCUUAUCAGCUUGUUGGUGGGGUAGUGGCUUACCAAGGCUUUGACGGGUAGCUGGCCUGAGAGGGUGACCGGCCACAUUGGGACUGAGAUACGGCCCAGACUCCUACGGGAGGCAGCAGUGGGGAAUAUUGCACAAUGGGCGGAAGCCUGAUGCAGCAACGCCGCGUGCGGGAUGACGGCCUUCGGGUUGUAAACCGCUUUCGCCUGUGACGAAGCGUGAGUGACGGUAAUGGGUAAAGAAGCACCGGCUAACUACGUG
Molecule: ribosomal RNA, 468 nt
Filed under: uncultured bacterium
Lineage: Bacteria
Description: partial 16S ribosomal RNA
Rfam family: Bacterial small subunit ribosomal RNA
Source: RNAcentral